CUUAGGACCGUUAUAGUUACGGCCGCCGUUUACUGGGGCUUCGGUUCAAAGCUUCGCUUGCGCUAACUCAUCCCCUUAACCUUCCAGCACCGGGCAGGCGUCAGCCCCUAUACUUCGCCUUGCGGCUUCGCAGAGACCUGUGUUUUUGCUAAACAGUCGCUUGGGCCUUUUCACUGCGGCCCCCUCGGGCUCAGCCCACCCAACGCAAGCUUACGCUCACGUUGGGCGGGGACCCUCACCCUACCGGGGGGCCCCUUCUCCCGAAGUUACGGGGCCAUUUUGCCGAGUUCCUUAGCAAGAGUUAUCCCGCGCACCUUAGGAUUCUCUCCUCGCCUACCUGUGUCGGUU
Molecule: ribosomal RNA, 348 nt
Filed under: Brevibacillus brevis
Lineage: Bacteria; Bacillati; Bacillota; Bacilli; Caryophanales; Paenibacillaceae
Description: partial 23S ribosomal RNA
Source: RNAcentral